AUUGAACGCUGGCGGCAUGCUUUACACAUGCAAGUCGAACGGCAGCGCGGGCUUCGGCCUGGCGGCGAGUGGCGAACGGGUGAGUAAUGCAUCGGAACGUGCCCAGUAGUGGGGGAUAGCCCGGCGAAAGCCGGAUUAAUACCGCAUACGACCUGAGGGUGAAAGCGGGGGACCGAAAGGCCUCGCGCUAUUGGAGCGGCCGAUGUCGGAUUAGCUAGUUGGUGGGGUAAAGGCUUACCAAGGCGCCGAUCCGUAGCUGGUCUGAGAGGACGACCAGCCACACUGGGACUGAGACACGGCCCAGACUCCUACGGGAGGCAGCAGUGGGGAAUUUUGGACAAUGGGGGCAACCCUGAUCCAGCCAUGCCGCGUGCGGGAAGAAGGCCUUCGGGUUGUAAACCGCUUUUGUUCGGGAAGAAAUCCUCUGGGCUAAUACCCCGGGGGGAUGACGGUACCGGAAGAAUAAGCACCGGCUAACUACGUG
RNAcentral lists this ribosomal RNA (484 nucleotides) under uncultured bacterium. RNAcentral describes it as "partial 16S ribosomal RNA". It matches the Rfam family "Bacterial small subunit ribosomal RNA", at positions 28 to 507 of the family's 1533-position model. The record is from RNAcentral.